GCUUGGCUGGCUCUGUCGGUAGAGCAUAUGACUCUUGAUCUUGAGGUUGUGAGUUCACCCUCAUGUUGAGUA
Molecule: transfer RNA, 72 nt
Filed under: Canis lupus familiaris (dog)
Lineage: Eukaryota; Metazoa; Chordata; Mammalia; Carnivora; Canidae
Also listed under: 1 other name
Rfam family: tRNA
About the family: Transfer RNA (tRNA) molecules are approximately 80 nucleotides in length. Their secondary structure includes four short double-helical elements and three loops (D, anti-codon, and T loops).
Source: Rfam by way of RNAcentral